RNAcentral lists this ribosomal RNA (263 nucleotides) under uncultured bacterium. RNAcentral describes it as "partial 16S ribosomal RNA". It matches the Rfam family "Bacterial small subunit ribosomal RNA", at positions 793 to 1055 of the family's 1533-position model. The record is from RNAcentral.
GUCCACGCUGUAAACGAUGUGUGCUAGACGUUGGGAGCCUAGCUCUUCGGUGUCGCAGCUAACGCUUUAAGCACACCGCCUGGGGAGUACGGCCGCAAGGUUAAACUCAAAGGAAUUGACGGGGCCCGCACAAGCGGUGGAGCAUGUGGUUUAAUUCGACGCAACGCGAAGAACCUUACCAGCCCUUGACAUGUCCGGUAUGGGUGGGGAGACCUCAUUCUUCAGUUCGGCUGGCCGGAACACAGGUGCUGCAUGGCUGUCGU